Molecule: long non-coding RNA, 1017 nt
Filed under: Equus asinus (donkey)
Lineage: Eukaryota; Metazoa; Chordata; Mammalia; Perissodactyla; Equidae
Description: lncRNA (ENSEASG00005025773.1)
Source: RNAcentral
AGGCAGCCGUCAGUGCAAAUGCGAGGACCAAGGCUGGGCAUGCAGGCUCCCAUCACCUCGCCUGAACAUCACCUGCUACAUGGCCGUGGGCGACUUCUCCAAGUUUGUACGUCCUCAUCUGCGUGACCGGGCUGAUGGCACCUCCAGCCCAGCACUGUAGGGAGCUCUAGGGGAAAUAACCUACAGGCCAUGGACAGUAGCUACAUUUUCAGACUGCUCAGAAUGCAAAUCCACCAGCCCUCAUUGCGUGACUUGGUGGGGGUCAGUCCAUCUUCCACCACAGAGGCCAAGGGCCAGAGCCCUGGGGUCCCACCUCCUGGCCCAGCACAGCCAGACAACCUCUGCACAGUCAGUCACCUGGAGUCUCCCACUUCCACAAGGGGCAGGAGGAGUCCCUCGUGCAGGAUGCCAUGGGAUAUUUGUGAGCCCGAGAUCUGCUGCCAGGCCACCGGGCAGAGGGCCGCUUCGGGUCCCAGCCCCAGAGGUGCCACACCUGAGCCUCACCUGCACUGAGCACGACCAGCGGACACCAGCCACGAGUAAACGGAGACGCCAGGGUGUUGUCGUGACCUAAGGCCACGUUAAGUCUGUGAAAUGAAGCAUCUGCAACUCUGUUUAAGGUUUUUAAAAAAAUCAUUUUCCUGACCCUGAAAGGAUUCAUUUGGAAGAAUAAAUCUGCAGAAACUGUGACACCCACAUGCCCUGUAGGGUCCAUGGCAGUGGGUGAGGAGUUUCAAGAGCCGAGUUCUUGUGAGAUGAGCCCCUGAGUAUUGCUUUUGAGAAGUUUGGCAACAAACAGAGCAGUACAUCAAGCGGCCUUUGUCUGCCGAUAUCCUUUAUGUAAAUGCUCCCACCGCCGCCAGCUUCAAGCCGCCAGUGCGAUGUCACCAAUGCGAUGUCGCUGAGUAUGCAUUGGAGAAGAGAUGCAAGCGGUGUUUCCACCAUCUAGAUAGAAAAGACAUAAACAUCUCAAGAGCAUGGAUAAUUGUAAAAUGUAUUAAAAUUAUUAGGAAGAGU